AGAGUUUGAUCAUGGCUCAGGAUGAACGCUAGCGGCAAGCUUAAUACAUGCAAGUCGAGGGGCAGCAUGAAGUAGCAAUACUUUGAUGGCGACCGGCAAACGGGUGCGGAACACGUACACAACCUUCCUUUUAGUGGGGAAUAGCCCAGAGAAAUUUGGAUUAAUACCCCGUAACAUAACCGGGUGGCAUCACUUGGUUAUUAUAGCUUCGGCGCUAAAUGAUGGGUGUGCGUAUGAUUAGAUAGUUGGCGAGGUAACGGCUCACCAAGUCUACGAUCAUUAGCUGAUGUGAGAGCAUGAUCAGCCACACGGGCACUGAGACACGGGCCCGACUCCUACGGGAGGCAGCAGUAAGGAAUAUUGGUCAAUGGACGCAAGUCUGAACCAGCUAUGCCGCGUGAAGGAUUAAGGUCCUCUGGAUUGUAAACUUCUUUUAUCUGGGACGAAAAAAGGUCUUUCUAGACCCCUUGACGGUACCAGAUGAAUAAGCACCGGCUAACUCCGUGCCAGCAGCCGCGGUAAUACGGAGGGUGCAAGCGUUAUCCGGAUUCACUGGGUUUAAAGGGUGCGUAGGCGGGUAGGUAAGUCAGUGGUGAAAUCCUGGAGCUCAACUCCAGAACUGCCAUUGAUACUAUCUAUCUUGAAUAUUGUGGAGGUAAGCGGAAUAUGUCAUGUAGCGGUGAAAUGCUUAGAUAUGACAUAGAACACCCAUUGCGAAGGCAGCUUACUACGCAUAUAUUGACGCUGAGGCACGAAAGCGUGGGGAUCAAACAGGAUUAGAUACCCUGGUAGUCCACGCCCUAAACGAUGGAUACUCGACAUACGCGAUACACUGUGUGUGUCUGAGCGAAAGCAUUAAGUAUCCCACCUGGGAAGUACGUUCGCAAGAAUGAAACUCAAAGGAAUUGGCGGGGGUCCGCACAAGCGGUGGAGUAUGUGGUUUAAUUCGAUGAUACGCGAGGAACCUUACCUGGGCUAGACAUAUACAGGAAAAGCGUAGAAAUACGCUCCCCGCAAGGUCUGUAUACAGGUGGUGCAUGGUUGUCGUCAGCUCGUGUCGUGAGAUGUUGGGUUAAGUCCCGCAACGAGCGCAACCCUCGUCCUAUGUUGCCAGCACGUAAUGGUGGGAACUCAUGGGAGACUGCCGGGGUCAACUCGGAGGAAGGUGGGGAUGACGUCAAAUCAUCAUGCCCCUUAUGUCUUGGGCUUCACGCAUGCUACAAUGGCCGGUACAAAGGGCUGCAAUACCGCAAGGUGGAGCGAAUCCCAUAAAGCCGGUCUCAGUUCGGAUUGGGGUCUGCAACUCGACCCCAUGAAGUCGGAGUCGCUAGUAAUCGUAGAUCAGCAACGCUACGGUGAAUACGUUCCCGGGCCUUGUACACACCGCCCGUCAAGUCACGAAAGUCGGUAACACCCGAAGCCGGUGGCCUAACCGUAAGGAAGGAGCCGUCGAAGGUGGGAUCGGUGAUUGGGACUAAGUCGUAACAAGGUAGCCGUA
This 1498-nucleotide ribosomal RNA is filed under the name uncultured bacterium. Its description in RNAcentral is "partial 16S ribosomal RNA". It matches the Rfam family "Bacterial small subunit ribosomal RNA". The record is from RNAcentral.